GACCAAUCCGAUGACAAACCCGACAACCUAUGCUAUCAGAAGAUACUAUGAAAGCCAGUUCAAACAAGUCUUGUUUAAUUUAGUAAGGGAAUAGGGGAUACCGCUCCAGUAGUUGAAGGUGCAAGCAAUGACUUGAGAUUAAGUUUUUCUGAAAUCAUUCUUAUGCAUUUCUUGAUCUUGUCCCAAACCAUUUGUGUGCACAUUUGUGUGCAGGAGAAAGUCUUGGCAUUUGUUUGAGACUCUAUGUUAUCAGGAAGCAAUAAGCCAUAUGUAAGCUCUUUGGAAUUGUAAUUAUUCUCCUGGAUGAAUUUUGGUGUUCCUCCAUUGGCCUUCAUGUCGACAUUAGCAACUUCUUUGUUCAUCUCACUUGAGCAAAUCCUUAUAAUGUUAUAAACAUAAGACCACAAAUAAACUGCACCUAUCGCCAUUGAAAGUGAAGCGUAAGCAAUUCCAUUUGUGUAGCAAACAUCAGGGGGUCCAAAUGGACUGCCUUUCUCCUUACAGAUUGCUGGGAUGAUGAUUAAAGGCAAAUUUCCCAUGUUUCCUGCUGCACAGCAACCCAAAAUGAGACCUUUUAGAGGUUUUGGAGGGCCUGUGAUUUUUACAAGUAUCCAUCCCAAUGCUGAGCCAAUAAUAAAUGUGACAAGGAUAUUGAAUGGCAUAAACCACAACAACUCCAUGCUUUCAAUGGUAAUUGUAUUAGCCAAGUUGCUACCCACUAGUGCUGGGUUAAACACAUAGAAAACAACUUGAUUUAUUUGCUUCCUUGUAUCCUCCCCCAAGAUAUUGACAUUGUCCAAUGCCAAAAACGAGCCAAGUCCUGUGAGUAAGAGUACUUUCAGAACUGGCAUAGAAGCAAUGACAAAUAGGUCCAGGAGGCGCAUGGUGACUGUUGCUCCUUAAUUCUUUGUGGGUGGAGAGUUUUUUUAAGAGGAGAAGGAAAGGGAAUAUUCCGUUGAAGGGAGGAGGAAG
Molecule: unclassified non-coding RNA, 972 nt
Filed under: Hevea brasiliensis (rubber tree)
Lineage: Eukaryota; Viridiplantae; Streptophyta; Magnoliopsida; Malpighiales; Euphorbiaceae
Source: RNAcentral